RNAcentral lists this ribosomal RNA (495 nucleotides) under uncultured bacterium. RNAcentral's name for it is "partial 16S ribosomal RNA". It matches the Rfam family "Bacterial small subunit ribosomal RNA", at positions 28 to 507 of the family's 1533-position model. The record is from RNAcentral.
GACGAACGCUGGCGGCGUGCCUAAUACAUGCAAGUAGAACGCUGAAGGAGGAGCUUGCUCUUCUGGAUGAGUUGCGAACGGGUGAGUAACGCGUAGGUAACCUGCCUGGUAGCGGGGGAUAACUAUUGGAAACGAUAGCUAAUACCGCAUAAGAGUAGAUGUUGCAUGACAUUUGCUUAAAAGGUGCAAUUGCAUCACUACCAGAUGGACCUGCGUUGUAUUAGCUAGUUGGUGGGGUAACGGCUCACCAAGGCGACGAUACAUAGCCGACCUGAGAGGGGGAUCGGCCACACUGGGACUGAGACACGGCCCAGACUCCUACGGGAGGCAGCAGUAGGGAAUCUUCGGCAAUUGACGGAAGUCUGACCGAGCAACGCCGCGUGAGUGAAGAAGGGUGUCGGAUCGUAAAGCUCUGUUGUAAGAGAAGAACGAGUGUGAGAGUGGAAAGUUCACACUGUGACGGUAGCUUAACAGAAAGGGACGGCUAACUACGUG